GCCAAGAUCACGAACACUUUUACAGAUUAAUAAUAUCUCUUAUACACCCAUGUUCGUGCGUACCAUCGAAGUGAAUUUGUAUUGGAUGAAGUACCAGAGGAAAAAGAGAGCCAUAUUACCGGUCGUGAAAGAGUUAAUAUGUCUCUUCAUCCGUCUGACUGUUGUGAGAAUGAAAAAGAAAGAAAGAAAGAAAGAAUGAAAGAAAA
RNAcentral lists this long non-coding RNA (206 nucleotides) under Polistes fuscatus (common paper wasp). Its description in RNAcentral is "uncharacterized LOC122515657". The record is from RNAcentral. Lineage: Eukaryota; Metazoa; Arthropoda; Insecta; Hymenoptera; Vespidae.